This 402-nucleotide ribosomal RNA is filed under the name bacterium. RNAcentral's name for it is "partial 16S ribosomal RNA". It matches the Rfam family "Bacterial small subunit ribosomal RNA", at positions 355 to 776 of the family's 1533-position model. The record is from RNAcentral.
UGGGGAAUUUUGCACAAUGGGGGAAACCCUGAUGCAGCGACGCCGCGUGAUUUAGAAGGCCUUCGGGUUGUAAAAAUCUUUUCUAUGGGAAGAAAAUGACAGUACCAUAGGAAUAAGGACCGGCUAAUUACGUGCCAGCAGCCGCGGUAAUACGUAAGGCCCGAGCGUUGUCCGGAAUCAUUGGGCGUAAAGUGUACGUAGGCGGGUAAGCAAGUUAGAAGUGAAAUCCUAUAGCUCAACUAUAGUAAGCUUUUAAAACUGCUCAGCUUGACGUAUGGAAGGGAAAGUGGAAUUCCUAGUGUAGCGGUGAAAUGCGCAGAUAUUAGGAGGAAUACCGGUGGCGAAGGCGAGUUUCUGGCCAUAACCUGACGCUGAGGUACGAAAGCGUGGGUAGCAAACAGG